GAUGAACGCUAGCUACAGGCUUAACACAUGCAAGUCGAGGGGCAGCAUGAACUUAGCUUGCUAAGUUUGAUGGCGACCGGCGCACGGGUGAGUAACACGUAUCCAACCUUCCGUUUACUCAGGGAUAGCCUUUCGAAAGAAAGAUUAAUACCUGAUAGUAUGGUGAGAUUGCAUGAUAACACCAUUAAAGAUUUAUUGGUAAACGAUGGGGAUGCGUUCCAUUAGGUAGUAGGCGGGGUAACGGCCCACCUAGCCUGCGAUGGAUAGGGGUUCUGAGAGGAAGGUCCCCCACAUUGGAACUGAGACACGGUCCAAACUCCUACGGGAGGCAGCAGUGAGGAAUAUUGGUCAAUGGGCGAGAGCCUGAACCAGCCAAGUAGCGUGAAGGAUGAAGGUCCUACGGAUUGUAAACUUCUUUAUACGGGAAUAAAGUUUCCUACGUGUAGGAUUUUGUAUGUACCGUAUGAAUAAGCAUCGGCUAACUCCGUG
Molecule: ribosomal RNA, 489 nt
Filed under: uncultured bacterium
Lineage: Bacteria
Description: bacterial SSU rRNA
Rfam family: Bacterial small subunit ribosomal RNA
Source: RNAcentral